This 2013-nucleotide ribosomal RNA is filed under the name human oral metagenome. RNAcentral describes it as "bacterial LSU rRNA". It matches the Rfam family "Bacterial large subunit ribosomal RNA", at positions 924 to 2925 of the family's 2925-position model. The record is from RNAcentral.
GGGCGUCACAGUCUACCGACACCAAUCGAACUCAGAAUGCCAUCCGCCAACGCAUGGGAGUGAGACUGUGUGCUCCAAGGUUCAUAGUCGAGAGGGAAACAGCCCGGACCGGCAUCUAAGGUCCCUAAAUAAUGCUAAGUGUAAAAUGAAGUGCGGAUGCACAGACAGCCAGGAGGUUGGCUUAGAAGCAGCCAUUCCUUAAAAGAGUGCGUAACAGCUCACUGGUCGAGCAUCCGGGCGCAGACAAUGUAACGGGGCUAAGCAUGGCACCGAAGCCGCGGGGGCAAAGCGAUUUCAGUUUUGCCCGGUAGGGGAGCAUUCCAUGGACCUGUGAAGGCGUACCCGCGAGGGGCGCUGGAGGGGAUGGAAGAGAGAAUGCAGGCAUGAGUAACGAAAAGACGGGUGAGAUCCCCGUCCGCCGAAAACCUAAGGUUUCCGGGGUAAAGGCAAUCUUCCCCGGGUAAGUCGGCCCCUAAGGCGAGGGGGAAACCCGUAGCCGAUGGGAACCCGGUUCAUAAUCCGGGACCUGUCAUGUUGCGAUGCCGUGACGCAUGAGGUGAAGUCCGGCCGGAGAACGGUAGUUCCGGUCGAAGCUGCAAGUCUGCGAGGGAGGGGUUAAAUGACCUUCUGAGACGAGCGGUGACAGCGAGGCGAGGGAAGCUGAGCCGAAGCGGACGUAGCCACGGUGACAAGAAACAGCGGCUAGCAUAGGCAUGACGGACCGUACCGUAGACGGACACACGUGGGUGGGAUGAGCAAUCUAAGGCGCUCGAGCGAACUCGCGUCAAGGAACUCGGCAAAAUGCGCACGUAACUUCGGGAGAAGUGCGGCUCCGGUUUGAAAGGACACGGAGCGGCAGAAAGCGGGCCCAGGCGACUGUUUAUCAAAAACACAGCCAUCUGCGAACCAGCAAUGGGACGUAUAGGUGGUGACACCUGCCCGGUGCCGGAAGGUUAAGAGGAGAGGUUAACAGCAAUGUGAAGCUUUGAAUUGAAGCCCCGGUAAACGGCGGCCGUAACUAUAACGGUCCUAAGGUAGCGAAAUUCCUUGUCGGGUAAGUUCCGACCCGCACGAAUGGUGUAACGUAUCUGGGCACUGUCUCAACGCGAGGCUCGGUGAAAUUUAUAUACCGGUAAAGAAGCCGGUUACCCAUAGUUAGACGGAAAGACCCCGUGAACCUUCACCGCAACUUAUUAUUGGGACUUGGUUUAUCAUGUGUAGAAUAGGUGGGAGGCUAUGAAGCUUGACCGUUAGGUUGGGUGGAGCCGAAAAGUGAAAUACCACCCUUGAUAAAUCAGGUUUCUAACCUGUCCCGUGAAACCGGGAUAGGGACAGUGAUAGGCAGGCGGUUUGACUGGGGCGGUCGCCUCCUAAAGAGUAACGGAGGUGCGCGAAGGUCUCCUCACGCCGGUUGGAAAUCGGCGCAGCGAGUGUAAAGGCACAAGGAGGCUUAACUGCGAGAGUGACAGCUCAAGCAGAUACGAAAGUAGGUCUUAAUGAUCUGGCGGUAGCGAGUGGAAGCGCCGUCACUUAACGGAUAAAAGGUACUCCGGGGAUAACAGGCUGAUUUUCCCCAAGAGUUCACAUCGACGGGAAAGUUUGGCACCUCGAUGUCGGCUCAUCGCAUCCUGGGGCUGGAGCAGGUCCCAAGGGUUUGGCUGUUCGCCAAUUAAAGCGGUACGUGAGCUGGGUUCAGAACGUCGCGAGACAGUUCGGUCCCUAUCUGCUAUGGGCGUUGGAUAUGUGAGAGGAGCUGCUUUUAGUACGAGAGGACCGAAGUGGACGAACCUCUGGUGUACCAGUUAUCCUGCCAAGGGUAAGUGCUGGGUAGCUAUCGUUCGGAAGGGAUAACCGCUGAAGGCAUCUAAGCGGGAAGCCCACCUCAAGAUUACAUAUCCCUCGGGGUUUAACCCCGCUAAAGACUCCUUGCACACUACAAGGUUGAUAGGUUGCAGGUCUAAGCAUAGUAAUGUGUUAUAGCCGAGCAAUACUAAUAAGUCGUGAGGCUUGACC